GCUUUCCUAUGGCUCAGUUGGUGGAGCAUUGCGCUAACAACGCAAAGUUCGUGGGUUCAAACCCCAGCGAAAGUA
Molecule: transfer RNA, 75 nt
Filed under: Danionella cerebrum
Lineage: Eukaryota; Metazoa; Chordata; Actinopteri; Cypriniformes; Danionidae
Description: tRNA-Val
Rfam family: tRNA
About the family: Transfer RNA (tRNA) molecules are approximately 80 nucleotides in length. Their secondary structure includes four short double-helical elements and three loops (D, anti-codon, and T loops).
Source: RNAcentral